RNAcentral lists this long non-coding RNA (1534 nucleotides) under Heterocephalus glaber (naked mole-rat). RNAcentral's name for it is "lncRNA (ENSHGLG00100039704.1)". The record is from RNAcentral. Lineage: Eukaryota; Metazoa; Chordata; Mammalia; Rodentia; Bathyergidae.
CUUUGGCCCCGAGGGCACGGCCUGCCCUGCUUUCUAUCAUUCUAGGGGCUGCUGGGAAUGAAGACUUCUCCUUCCGGGAGCCUGCUGUCUGCGGACCUCACAGAACUCAGCUGAGUCCUACCUGCUUCCUUUUCUUGGCACUGAAGAUGAAAGACACUGAAGAUGGAAGAUUGAGCAAGACAGGAGGACCCAGCUCUCUAUACCAUGGAGGAAAACAGGUCACUUGGGAAACAGAAAGAAUGGUUGGAAGCAUCAUGGCGCAGGCACACCAUGGCUUCCUGUGCCACCACUAGGAAGAGGAAGUGCGGGUGCUGCACUGGCUCCUCCCUGGUCCCUGCCUCAGAUGCCAUGUCCUUCGGAUGUGCUUUUCAGAUUGCUGCCAGAGGGAACUCUUCAAAAAUGCAAACCUGACCAUGUCCUUCCUCACUCUCAAACCCUCGCUGGCUCCCCAUUGCCCUUCUCCUGAUGAGUCCUGAUCUCAUCCAGUCCUAGCUCUCUCUCCAGUGUCACCUCCCGAUCUGCUGUGACCCUGACAUGCUGGUUGUAUAACCGGCAGGUCUCACCUCACAGUGGCCUUACCUCACAGUGGCCUUGCACAUCAUCUGCCCCUCGGACACUGCUGUCUCCAAGACUCCAUGUGAGCACUUCCUUCUCCAGGAAACCCUCCCUGACUCCUGCUCCCCUGCCCUUGGGGCCUCCAGCCAGGCCAGUGCAGGCAGCAGGAUGCCUCAGGAGGACCUGGGAAGUGGACCCUGGCCCUGCAGUCCACUCCUGCCCUGGGAAGAGUGAGAAGGGGCUGGAUCCAUCACAGUGCCUGAUCUUGGACCCUGGCUCUCAGGAGACGUCAGCAGGACGGAGGCCACCCUUGGUCCGCUGUGUGACCCUGCUGGUCACCUGGCUUCUCCGGCUCCUCUCCCACGAGAGGGCCAGCACCGCCCAGGGCCCCCCUCCUCAGCCCUGCUGCACCCCGAGGCGGGACUGAGGCACUGCGCCCUGCUGUCCCGGAAGGCGCCCCUCGUGCAGUCACAGACCCCCUUGUCCCCCUGCCUGCUGAUUGCUCCAGCCAGACAACCCCUGGGUCUAGAAUCCCGGAACCCGAGGCACACGUGUAGAGUGAUUGGAGGGACACAUGGCGGACAGAUGAGUGACCCAGAGCUGUCCCCAGAUAUAUCCAGUGCAAGACUGUGAGAACGAGCCCACCGCCCCGGAGCAACCAGGAGCUCAGGUCCCUCAACCUUGCAGCCCAGCCCUGGCCUCGAGGAGCUCGGGCUGGCUCUGGUUUGUGCUUCUGGCCUCCCAACUCUCUGAGAGCCUUCCUUCUCAUUCUUGUGCCCACCCCUGCCCAGCGUGGCUUGAACGUGGAUCUGGGCGCAAGCCACCUCCCAUUUUGUCAGACCCUCCAGGAAGCUGUUCCAACCGUGGGAGGAAAGCUGUAAUAACACUGAGAUUGAAUUUCCCUCCAGCCUGGAGGGACGGGGGAUUCAAGUCAGAUUUAAUUCGAUCUUAGACAAAUAAAGUACUAUGACAUUUAUUG